Molecule: ribosomal RNA, 505 nt
Filed under: uncultured bacterium
Lineage: Bacteria
Description: partial 16S ribosomal RNA
Rfam family: Bacterial small subunit ribosomal RNA
Source: RNAcentral
GACGAACGCUGGCGGCGUGCCUAAUACAUGCAAGUAGAACGCACAGUUUAUACCGUAGCUUGCUACACCAUAGACUGUGAGUUGCGAACGGGUGAGUAACGCGUAGGUAACCUGCCUGGUAGCGGGGGAUAACUAUUGGAAACGAUAGCUAAUACCGCAUAAUAUUGAUUAUUGCAUGAUAAUUGAUUGAAAGAUGCUAUUGCAUCACUACCAGAUGGACCUGCGUUGUAUUAGCUAGUAGGUGAGGUAACGGCUCACCUAGGCGACGAUACAUAGCCGACCUGAGAGGGUGAGCGGCCACACUGAGACUGAGACACGGCCCAGACUGCUACGGGAGGCAGCAGUAGGGAAUCUUGGGCAAUGGGCGAAAGUCUGACCGAGCAACGCCGCGUGAGGGAAGAAGGUUUUCGGAUCGUAAAGCUCUGUUGUAAGAGAAGAACGGGUGUGAGAGUGGAAAGUUCACACUGUGACGGUAUCUUACCAGAAAGGGACGGCUAACUACGUG